Molecule: ribosomal RNA, 213 nt
Filed under: uncultured bacterium
Lineage: Bacteria
Description: partial 16S ribosomal RNA
Rfam family: Bacterial small subunit ribosomal RNA
Source: RNAcentral
CAGUUCGGAUUGAAGGCUGAAAUUCGCCUUCCAUGAAGCUGGAAUUGCUAGUAAUGGCAGGUCAGCAUACUGCCGUGAAUACGUUCCCGGGCCUUGUACACACCGCCCGUCACACCAUGAGAGUUGGAAAUGCCCGAAGUCAGUGACCCAACCGUAAGGAGGGAGCUGCCGAAGGUGGAGCCGGUAACUGGGGUGAAGUCGUAACAAGGUAAC